CCUACGGGUGGCAGCAGUGAGGAAUAUUGGUCAAUGGACGCAAGUCUGAACCAGCCAUGCCGCGUGCAGGAUGACGGCUCUAUGAUUUGUAACCUGCUUUUUUACGAGGGUAAACUCAGAUACGCGUAUGUUUCUGUCUGUACCGUACGUAUAAGGACCGGCUAACUCCGUGCCAGCAGCCGCGGUACUACGGAGGAUUCAAGCGUUAUCCGGUUUUAUUGGGUUUAAAGGGUGCGUAGGCGGGCGGAUAAGUUAGAGGUGAAAUGCCGAGGGUCAAAUUCGGAACUGCCUCUGAUACUGUUCGGCUAGAGAGAAGUGGCGGUAGGCGGAAUGUAUGGUGUAGCGGUGAAAUGCUUAGAGAUCAUACAGAACACCGAUUGCGAAGGCAGCUUACCAAGCUACGUCUGACGUUGAGGCACGAAAGCGUGGGGAGCAAACAGGAUUAGAUACCCGAGUAGUC
Molecule: ribosomal RNA, 460 nt
Filed under: uncultured bacterium
Lineage: Bacteria
Description: partial 16S ribosomal RNA
Rfam family: Bacterial small subunit ribosomal RNA
Source: RNAcentral